Molecule: ribosomal RNA, 497 nt
Filed under: uncultured bacterium
Lineage: Bacteria
Description: partial 16S ribosomal RNA
Rfam family: Bacterial small subunit ribosomal RNA
Source: RNAcentral
GAUGAACGCUGGCGGCGUGCCUAAUACAUGCAAGUCGAGCGAACAGACGAGGAGCUUUCUCCUUCGACGUUAGCGGCUGACGGGUGAGUAACACGUAGGUAACCUACCUCUAAGACUGGGAUAACUUCGUGAAACCGGAUCUAAUACCGGAUAAUAUUUCGAACCGCAUGGUUCGAUAGUGAAAGAUGGCUUUGCUAUCACUUAUAGAUGGACCUGCGCCGUAUUAGCUAGUUGGUAAGGUAACGGCUUACCAAGGCAACGAUACGUAGCCGACCUGAGAGGAUGAUCGGCCACACUGGAACUGAGACACGGUCCAGACUCCUACGGGAGGCAGCAGUAGGGAAUCUUGCGCAAUGGGCGAAAGCCUGACGGAGCAACGCCGCGUGAGUGAUGAAGGUCUUCGGAUCGUAAAACUCUGUUAUUAGGGAAGAACAACCGUGUAAGUAACUGUGCACGUCUUGACGGUACCUAAUCAGAAAGCCACGGCUAACUACGUG